RNAcentral lists this ribosomal RNA (169 nucleotides) under uncultured bacterium. RNAcentral describes it as "partial 16S ribosomal RNA". It matches the Rfam family "Bacterial small subunit ribosomal RNA", at positions 339 to 524 of the family's 1533-position model. The record is from RNAcentral.
CUACGGGAGGCAGCAGCAAGGAAUUUUGUGCAAUGGGCGAAAGCCUGACACAGCAACGCCGCGUGGGGGAUGAAGGCCUUCGGGUUGUAAACCCCUUUUCUCAGGGAAGAAUAAUGACGGUACCUGAGGAAUAAGCCUUGGCUAACUACGUGCCAGCAGCCGCGGUAAU